AAAAUUGUCAACAAGAGUGACUUUGUUUUGCUGGGGUACUGUUUAGUAUACAAUUAAAGGAAACUAAAGUGCAAAAGAAAAGCACUCUAUAUGUUUUCACUAUUAAUAGAAAUUUUUUAAUGCAAAUAUUUAUUUUGGCAGGAAACUAAACUUAUAGUUUUACAGCAUUUACAUUGUGUUAGAAGUAAUUUCUUUGGGAAGAAUGCAUAAGUGAGAAAGAAUGGAAAUGCGGAAAGAAUAAAAUGAAAAGAGUUGGUACAGCUGAUUCAAUGGAAGGAAUGUAAAGAAUAAAAGACAACAGGGAAAAUAUCUUGUGGAGAAUCUUAUCAUCCAUUGACUUCUUUCUCCAUUGCUGCCCUAGCCCUUGAUGGUUUCUUUUCUUGAGCACUUUAUAUCAUCCCGCUGCCGCUCUACUUUCUGAUGAGAAAUCAGCAGAUGAGAAUCCAUGUACGUGAAAGUUGGCUUCUGAUGGAUGCGUUACUGACGCUUCCAUUAUGAACUGCUGAGGAAGGAGUGACGUACGUGGUGUAGGAUGCAUGCAGAAGGAAGUCAGUAAACAUUACCUUCCCAGAUCCUUACUUGCAUGUGCCUUGUGGAGGGCCAAGAUAUAAAUGGGAUUCUGAAGAUAAUUUCUGCUCUCACAUCAUAACUUUCAGACGUAUUGGAAGGGCACUUUUCAGACACAAAGCAAGUCCAAAUCAAAGGUAACUGAGAAAACAAGACUAAGCUUUGAGGCAGAUAAAUUUUAUUAUGAGUUGAAUUAUGUCUUUCCAAAAGAUAAAGUCCUAACUCCUAGUACUUUAGAAUGUGACCUUUUUUGGAAAUAGGGUCCUUGAAGAUGUAGUUAGAUAAUUUAAGAUGUGGUCAUGCUGGAGUAGGGUGGAACCUUAAUCCAAUAUGACUGAUGUCCUUUUAAGAAGAGGCAAGAUGAUGUGAAGACAGACACACACAGAGAAGGUUAUGUGACUUGGGAGGCAGAAAUUGGAGUGACAUAUAUCUAUAAGCCAAGGAAAGCCUGGCGCUACCAGAAGCUCGAAGAGUCAAGGAAAGAUCCUCCCCGAGAGGCCUCAGGGGAGCAAGGCCCUGCCAACACCUUGAUUUUGGACUUUAAGAAACUGAGACAGAGGUUGUUUUAGUCACCCAGUUUGUGGCAUUUUGUUCUGGCUGCCCUAGGAAACUAAUACAAACUUGAACACAGCAGAAACUUGAAACAUGUGUGUGUGAAGUGCUGUCACUGCCAUUCUCUAGUGUUAGCAAUUUUCCCUUUGGAUUUAGAUGUGAGCACUAUGAUAAUAACUAGAUUUGGUCAGAUUAUGUUUGGUACCCAACCAAUGAUUACAGUGGUGUAGAUAUGUUAACAAAAACUAAAAAUAAUUGUAAAGAUAGAAAAGAAAAAAACAAAACCAAUAUAUUUGAACAUGUCAGGCUUACAUAGAUCAAGGUGACAUGCCUUAAUUAUAAAUUCAUUAUCAUUUAAUUAACCAGUCAUUUCUUAUCAUUACUCUAAAUAUAAAAUUCUAAAGAUUUUCAUUCUUGAAAAAUAAAUCAUAAAUAUAUGGCAGCCUAGAUAGCUUAAUUAAAAGUUUUGUAAUUUUACCCUAAAAUUCCAGAGUUCAAUUCCUUAAAUCUGAGUGCCUGGGAUUUAGUAACUACUCAAUAAAUGUAGGCUGAAUUAAGGAAGAUAAUGAAAAUGAUAUGUAUUUUAAUUAAAUGAAAUAACAAGAAUUAUAGUCAAUUUUCUCCCAAGGUCACUUUGAUAUGAAGUCUCUAAACUAAAUAACACU
Long non-coding RNA from Diceros bicornis minor, 1784 nucleotides. RefSeq lists it as uncharacterized. The transcript has 3 exons. The record is from RefSeq and is a predicted model, not a curated record. Lineage: Eukaryota; Metazoa; Chordata; Mammalia; Perissodactyla; Rhinocerotidae.